RNAcentral lists this ribosomal RNA (127 nucleotides) under uncultured bacterium. RNAcentral describes it as "partial 16S ribosomal RNA". It matches the Rfam family "Bacterial small subunit ribosomal RNA", at positions 917 to 1045 of the family's 1533-position model. The record is from RNAcentral.
GGGCCCGCACAAGCGGCGGAGCGUGCGGUUUAAUUCGACGCGACGCGCAGAACCUUACCAAGGCUUGACAUGUCCCUGCAGACCUGGGAAACCAGGGGGCCUUCGAGGGUGGGACACAGGUGCUGCA